UACGAAGGACCCAAGCGUUAUCCGGAUUUAUUGGGCUUAAAGGGCGCGUAGGCGGAUCUUUAAGUCGGGGGUGAAAGCCCAGGGCUCAACCCUGGAAUUGCCUUCGAUACUGGAGAUCUUGAGACCGGAAGAGGUAAGUGGAACUGCGAGUGUAGAGGUGAAAUUCGUAGAUAUUCGCAAGAACACCAGUGGCGAAGGCGGCUUACUGGUCCGGUUCUGACGCUGAGGCGCGAAAGCGUGGGGAGCAAACAGG
RNAcentral lists this ribosomal RNA (253 nucleotides) under uncultured bacterium. RNAcentral's name for it is "partial 16S ribosomal RNA". It matches the Rfam family "Bacterial small subunit ribosomal RNA", at positions 524 to 776 of the family's 1533-position model. The record is from RNAcentral.